Molecule: long non-coding RNA, 228 nt
Filed under: Elaeis guineensis (African oil palm)
Lineage: Eukaryota; Viridiplantae; Streptophyta; Magnoliopsida; Arecales; Arecaceae
Description: long non-coding RNA (EGUI_LNC077739)
Source: RNAcentral
CCUUUUAUAGCGGGCUUUCUUGUUUUAUUUCCCAAUAUGUCAGGAACACUUGGCUCUUUGUGCUGUGUGCCCACUUUUGAUUUUUUUUCACUAUGUAUAUGGGGCCAUAGCAAUGCUAUACAUGUUUUGUUGAUGUAAUAUAAUCCUGCUACUUCCUACCAAAAAAAGAAAAAAAGAAAAAAGAAAUUAAGCGUUUUUGCGAAAUUUCCAUACAUUAAUGAGAAUUCA